Molecule: signal recognition particle RNA, 272 nt
Filed under: Nanobdellota archaeon
Lineage: Archaea; Nanobdellati; Nanobdellota
Description: signal recognition particle sRNA
Rfam family: Archaeal signal recognition particle RNA
Source: RNAcentral
UUUAUUGCUAGGCUGGGUGGCUCAUCCUCACCUGUUACCACAAACGGAUGUCGGUGGAGCUGAAGCCUGAGGGGCGGCGUGACACAAAUUAAAGGUCUUAACUGGACCGUCGACGCCUUGUCCUCUAGGAUCGUGAUUUUUACGAACUGAGUCAGAUCAGGAAUGAAGCAGCUCUAAGAAUUAAUCAUGGUGCUUAGGGGGUUGCAGGGCUGAGGAAAAGUUAAGGGUGCUUUUAGUUUGCUGUUUUCGUCCACCUUCAGGCACGCACUUUU